ACUUGAAUUGAAGAGUUUGAUCAUGGCUCAGAUUGAACGCUGGCGGCAGGCUUAACACAUGCAAGUCGAACGGUAGCAGGAGAAAGCUUGCUUUCUUGCUGACGAGUGGCGGACGGGUGAGUAAUGCUUGGGAAUCUGGCUUAUGGAGGGGGAUAACGACGGGAAACUGUCGCUAAUACCGCGUAUUAUCGGAAGAUGAAAGUGCGGGACUGAGAGGCCGCAUGCCAUAGGAUGAGCCCAAGUGGGAUUAGGUAGUUGGUGGGGUAAAUGCCUACCAAGCCUGCGAUCUCUAGCUGGUCUGAGAGGAUGACCAGCCACACUGGAACUGAGACACGGUCCAGACUCCUACGGGAGGCAGCAGUGGGGAAUAUUGCGCAAUGGGGGGAACCCUGACGCAGCCAUGCCGCGUGAAUGAAGAAGGCCUUCGGGUUGUAAAGUUCUUUCGGUAUUGAGGAAGGUUGAUGUGUUAAUAGCACAUCAAAUUGACGUUAAAUACAGAAGAAGCACCGGCUAACUCCGUGCCAGCAGCCGCGGUAAUACGGAGGGUGCGAGCGUUAAUCGGAAUAACUGGGCGUAAAGGGCACGCAGGCGGUUAUUUAAGUGAGGUGUGAAAGCCCUGGGCUUAACCUAGGA
RNAcentral lists this ribosomal RNA (633 nucleotides) under Haemophilus influenzae. RNAcentral's name for it is "bacterial SSU rRNA". It matches the Rfam family "Bacterial small subunit ribosomal RNA", at positions 1 to 619 of the family's 1533-position model. The record is from RNAcentral. Lineage: Bacteria; Pseudomonadati; Pseudomonadota; Gammaproteobacteria; Pasteurellales; Pasteurellaceae.